Molecule: long non-coding RNA, 1622 nt
Organism: Macaca mulatta (Rhesus monkey)
Lineage: Eukaryota; Metazoa; Chordata; Mammalia; Primates; Cercopithecidae
Source: Ensembl
UUUGAGUAAUAAUAACUUUUGAAUAACUUAUGGAGAACAUUGUUAAAGGUGAAAGUAUCACAGAAACAGGAACUCCAGGACAUUUAAAUAUAUCGAGAAUGAGGCUUUAUAAAGACUAUGAAGGCUAAUUUGUAUAUCAAAUAUAAACAGGGUUACUAGUGAAAACAAGGUCCAAAUAGGGUAAUUCAAAAAAGAAUAUUUAUAUCUUUUUAAAGAUCCCUCAGAAAACAAUAUUUGAAGCAAUCAGGAUAAUCUACAUAUUUCUUACAAAAAUACGUUUGUUUUACAAAGAGCAAGAUGAGCAAUUAAAAUAAAACUAAUAAGGAUGUUGUAAAUGUCUGGAGCUAAGAUUUCAGAAUUAGAGUUUGAGAUGAAGAAGCAAUUUCUUGGAUACUAAAGUUGUAGAGGUGUCAAUAUGAAUGUGUGGCUUCCUUGAAUAGUGCUCAUGUAUGCAGGGAUUGGUGUUGAUAAUGCAACUAUUAUCAUUUUUGUGAUUUGGUUUGGAAAGGACAGGAAAGGAGAGUUGUAUAAGAGACUGAGAAUGUGGUAGAGGCUUUUUCUGUCCCCAAGAUGUCUUGUCAAUUAAUUCUUUAACCACAAAUUGACGGAUGGUACAAAACAUUGGGCUAGGUAUUUUGGCAGACAUGGAAAAUACAAGUACAUAGUCCCUGGGACAAAAAGAUACAUAUUUAAAGAAAUCAAGAACAACUUAUAAAGCCUCACAAGAAUACUGACAGCACUAAAUUCUUUACAGAGAGAAGAAUUUGUGUAGUGUUGUUUUGGAAGAUUUAACAGAAGUGGUGAGAGUUGAGCUUGUUUCUGAAGGAUGAACAGGAGGUAGAGGCAGGGAGGGAUACAAUAAACUAAAUCUAGGGGCAGGACCAUAACCUCAAGACAUGCUCAAGACAGCAAAUAUGUCCUUCCAGCGAAAGGGAAUAUGUGUGUAAGGGCAAAAAGAAAAAAAAAUGAGGAUAGCUUAUAUCUAGGUGGUAAAGAAGCUUGAAGGCUAAUUUAAGAAGUUGGAUCUUCCUGUAAUCCCAGCACUUUGGGAGGCCGAGACGGGCGGAUCACGAGGUUAGGAGAUCGAGACCAUCCUGGCUAACACGGUGAAACCCCGUCUCUACUAAAAAAUACAAAAAAUUAGCUAGGUGUAGUGGCAUGCACCUGUAGUCCCAGCUACUCGGGAGGCUGAGGCAGGAGAAUCGCGUGAACUCGGGAGGCGGAGCUUGCAGUGAGCUGAGAUCCGGCCACUGCACUCCAGCCUGGGUGACAGAGCCAGACUCUGUCUCAAAAAAAAAAAAAAAAAAAAAAAAAAAAAAGAAGUUGGAUCUUAAUCAUCAAAAGAGACAAUGAAAGUUUGUAAAGUGGAUAAUCGACAUGGUAGUAAAAACAAUUUUUAAAGAAAGAUAAAAAUCAUGACUCUCCUACAAGGAAGAAAAUAAACAUUAAAGAUGAUAUUGUGACGGUGGCCUGCAGUCACCUCGCGGCCGUCCAGAAUUAAAGGCUGUCUGCAGAGAUUAGAACAAUGGCAACAAAUGAAAGUGUCAGCAUUUUUAGUUCAGUAUCCUUGGCUGUGCAGUAUGUAGAUUCAGUUUUACCUGAGAAUCCUCUGCGAGAACCAU